CCUACGGGUGACAGCAGUGGGGAAUAUUGGGCAAUGGGCGCAAGCCUGACCCAGCAACGCCGCGUGAAGGAAGAAGGCUUUCGGGUUGUAAACUUCUUUUGUCAGGGACGAAGCAAGUGACGGUACCUGACGAAUAAGCCACGGCUAACUACGUGCCAGCAGCCGCGGUAAUACGUAGGUGGCAAGCGUUAUCCGGAUUUACUGGGUGUAAAGGGCGUGUAGGCGGGGAAGCAAGUCAGAUGUGAAAACUACGGGCUCAACCUGUGGCAUGAAGUUGAAACUGUAUGUCUUGAGUGUGGGGGAGGCAGUCGGAAUGCGGGGGGUAGCGGUGAAAGGCGUAGAUAUACGGAGGAACAC
This 357-nucleotide ribosomal RNA is filed under the name uncultured bacterium. Its description in RNAcentral is "partial 16S ribosomal RNA". It matches the Rfam family "Bacterial small subunit ribosomal RNA", at positions 338 to 709 of the family's 1533-position model. The record is from RNAcentral.